This 522-nucleotide ribosomal RNA is filed under the name Glaesserella parasuis. Its description in RNAcentral is "SSU rRNA". It matches the Rfam family "Eukaryotic small subunit ribosomal RNA", at positions 1169 to 1709 of the family's 1831-position model. The record is from RNAcentral. Lineage: Bacteria; Pseudomonadati; Pseudomonadota; Gammaproteobacteria; Pasteurellales; Pasteurellaceae.
ACCAGGAGUGGAGCCUGCGGCUUAAUUUGACAACACGGGAAACCUCACCCGGCCCGGACACGGACAGGAUUGACAGAUUGAUAGCUCUUUCUCGAUUCCGUGGGUGGUGGUGCAUGGCCGUUCUUAGUUGGUGGAGCGAUUUGUCUGGUUAAUUCCGAUAACGAACGAGACUCUGGCAUGCUAACUAGUUACGCGACCCCCGAGCGGUCGGCGUCCCCCAACUUCUUAGAGGGACAAGUGGCGUUCAGCCACCCGAGAUUGAGCAAUAACAGGUCUGUGAUGCCCUUAGAUGUCCGGGGCUGCACGCGCGCUACACUGACUGGCUCAGCGUGUGCCUACCCUACGCCGGCAGGCGCGGGUAACCCGUUGAACCCCAUUCGUGAUGGGGAUCGGGGAUUGCAAUUAUUCCCCAUGAACGAGGAAUUCCCAGUAAGUGCGGGUCAUAAGCUUGCGUUGAUUAAGUCCCUGCCCUUUGUACACACCGCCCGUCGCUACUACCGAUUGGAUGGUUUAGUGAGGCCC